Neodiprion virginianus is the source of this 504-nucleotide long non-coding RNA. RefSeq lists it as uncharacterized. The transcript is spliced from 3 exons. Lineage: Eukaryota; Metazoa; Arthropoda; Insecta; Hymenoptera; Diprionidae. The record is from RefSeq and is a predicted model, not a curated record.
AGUAAACUUACAUGCGACGAACAAAAACGCGUCGUGGUGCAUGGUAUGACAAUUAUACAGAGGCUAAUUUUCACAGACUCGCCUGGCGGAGGUCUUAGACCCCGCGGACGGUGUGCAGAGACGAAAGGAAAUUUUACGGUGACGUCCGCAUCGUCAUUUUAAGUGCGUGCACAAUAACGCGAGCCAGUCCGAUUGUAAGGUGGACAGAAAUGACAAGUUACGCGUUGAUUGAAAUCAUAAUUAUGCACACCGGAUUAGCGUCAUCGGUACGAUACGUGAACCGAUUUCAUUGACGUAUCGAGCGUUGUCUGAACCGAUAACUCUUCGACGUCGAACUAUAUUUAGAAAUACAGCGUCGUCUUCGUUGUAAACGCAGAGAUAAAUGCUGCUGCACCAGUUCAACAUUCUUACCCCUUAUCUUUGUCGUCGUGCCGUUGUUGCCGAGUCGCCUAGCGAUUGCUGACUGCAGCUAAUUCGCACGGCAGAUAUUAUGCAUAUGUACGU